Acanthochromis polyacanthus (spiny chromis) is the source of this 4837-nucleotide RNA transcript. It is a transcript of the gene named solute carrier family 17 member 5, with no coding region annotated. NCBI's taxonomy places the organism in Eukaryota, Metazoa, Chordata, Actinopteri, Pomacentridae. The transcript is spliced from 12 exons. The record is from RefSeq and is a predicted model, not a curated record.
UUCCUCUCUCCUCACGUGACGUGAGAGUCAGCUGACCCGCUGUCAGCGCCGUCAGCUUCCUUCUUGUGUUGCUGUUUUCUGUGUUUGUGAUGCAGUAGAACUCCUGCUGUGGUUCACCGCCGGCUGAAAAUGGAGCGGUACGAGUCGGACACGGAGGGAGACGAGCAGGAGAGGCCGCUGCUUCACGAGGAGAAACCACAAAAAGCUCCAGCAUGCUGUUCGGCUCGCUACACGCUGGCGUUUCUCUCCUCUUUCGGCUUCUUCGUGGUCUACUCCCUGAGGGUGAACCUCAGCGUGGCGAUGGUGGACAUGCUCAACACCACCCACGAGAACAGCCUCAACCACAGCGGCUCGCUGUGUCCUCCUCACACCAGCGCUGCUCCACCCAAACACAACCACACGGCCAGCCUUUAUAACUGGGACUCUGAGACUCAGGGCUGGAUCCUGGGCUCCUUCUUCUACGGCUACAUCCUGACUCAGAUCCCUGGAGGAUACCUGGCCGGCCGCCUCGGACCCAAGUGGCUGAUGGGCUUUGGAGUCCUGGGAACUGCGGUUUUUACGCUGCUCACCCCGACGGCCGCUGACCUGGGACCGAGCUACCUGUUCGCUGUCAGAGUGGUGGAGGGCAUCGGAGAGGGUGUCACGUUUCCCGCCAUGUACACCAUGUGGGCCGCCUGGGCUCCACCGCUGGAGAGGAGCCGGCUGCUCACCAUCUCCUAUAUCGGAGCCCAGCUGGGGACGGUAGUUUGUCUUCCUCUGUCUGGUCAGAUCUGCUUCUACCUGGACUGGACCUACGUCUUCUACAUAUUUGGCGCUGUCGGUCUGGUGUGGUUCGUCUUGUGGUCUUUUCUGGUCUUCAACAGUCCAAACACUCAUCCUCGGAUAUCGGAGCGGGAGAGACUGUACAUCACCAGCUCGCUGAAGAACGAGCUCUCCACCUCAGCAGACUACAUCCCCUGGAGAUCCAUAGUGACGUCCGUGCCUCUGUGGGCCAUCGUUGUGGCUCAUUUCUCCUACAACUGGACCUUCUACACUCUCCUCACCCUGCUGCCGACGUACAUGAAGAACAUCCUGGGCUUCAGCAUACAGCAGAACGGCAUGCUGUCGGCUCUGCCUUACCUGGGCUGUGCCAUCGUAGCCGUUCUGAGCGGACAAAUAGCCGAUUAUCUUAGAGAGAGCUGCCUGUAUUCCACCAUCCUGGUCAGGAAGGUCUGCUCCCUCAUCGGGAUGCUCGGAUCGGCAGCCUUCCUGGUGGCGGCGGGUUACACCGGCUGUAACUACGUCCUGGCUGUGAGCUUCGUCACCAUCUCCUCUUCUCUGGGCGGAGUGUCGGCGUCCGGCUUCAACAUCAACCACCUGGACAUCGCUCCUUCCUAUGCAGGGAUUUUGCUGGGAAUCACCAACACCUUUGCGACCAUCCCCGGCAUGGUGGGACCAGUUAUAGCCAGAAAUCUCACCAAACAGAACACCCUACAAGAAUGGCAGACUGUCUUCUACAUCGCUGCAGCCAUCAACCUGUUUGGAGCGUUGUUCUUCAACGCGUUUGGUAAAGGAACGGUGCAGCCCUGGGCGGUCCACACAUCCUACUCUCAUGGAGACUGAGGCGAACGACGAGCACCGGACUCAUCCGUUAGACAAAUGUGAAUCAUCGAAUGGAUGAGUCUCAACCACAGACUCAUUCUAAGGGUAAUUUUAGCGAGAGGUGAUUAUUCACCCAAUAUAUAGUGAGUAACGGCCGUGAUGCCUUCAAGGACGCUCCUCACUGUGUCUGGAGUCUUUAGUUAAUCAAAUACAGGAAGAUGCUCUUUGGAGGAAAAAAUAACUGAGCAGAAGCCAGUUAUCCUGCCACUGAUUCAAAGAAAUAAGACGGCGCUGAAAUGGUUGUAUAGUUCCAGGCUAGUACGGUCUGCUGAGGGUAGUUAGCUUAAAGAUAGGUCGAUAUUUGUGGGUUAUCCAAGACUUGUUGAUCGUCAGGCAUUGUACAUAUCAUAGUAAAUGAGCUUUUAUUCCAGUGUAGUUUCUUUUAGGUGUUCAGUUUGUCAGCCCAGUUGUUAUUUCUGCCUCCAAAGCACCUCUUCUUUAUUUUAUUUUAUUUUUUUACAUUUUAUUGCCAGUUCUUGAUACUUGUGCAUGUAAAGUUUGAGAUGACAAAAUGUGCUACUUAAGUAAAUGCCAGUAAGUUUAGUUUUAAAGGUGUUCCACAAAAUUAACUAAAAUCAUCCGAAACUAGACGCACACAUUGAACAGUGUCCUUUUUUUGUCUUUGUUCAGACUACACAGUCUGUUUGGGAAAAUGCCUUAAAGUGUCUUUCUUGCAAUCAAGCAUUUACAUUGUUUUGUAUUUACUUGUCACAUAGAGCAGUUAAGGGAUUUUGUGUGUUGUCUGUUCAGGUUUUCAGGUCCACCAAGCACCUCUUUCAUUUUAAACGGCUACAUUCAGCUGAUGUAUGUCGUAAACACGGGUUCUGAUAUUUCCAAACACUAUGAUGCUAAACGUCUAGUAACGUAUAAAUGAAGGAAAAACGCUGCUUUAAAGAGGUUCCUGGUGGACGCUGUCUUAUAUCAGUCACAGGAUUUGCACUUUUUGUGUCGAUUCUCAGGUAUCAUAAGGAUUGAAAAGGGUGUUUGCUUACUUUUUAACAGAUUAAGCUGAAACAUUGAGGUAGGUGACCUCGAGUUCUAAGUGUCAAUGGAAUUAGAUCCAAUUCUAAAAUUUAUUCCAACUCAAAUAUGAGUUUUUUAGUUUUUGUUUCUUAUGAGUGUGACUAGAUUAUGAUAUACACUGCUGUAAAAAAAGUAUUUGCCCCCUUCCUGAUUUCUGUGUUUUUUUGAAUAUUUAUCACUCGCAAGGGUUUCAAAUCAUCAAACCGAUUUUAAUAUCACACAGAGACAACGCAAGGAAAUACAAAAUCCAUCCAUUCUCUAUCCACCGCUUUAUCCUCACUAGGGUCAUGGGGGGUGCUGGAGCCUAUCCCUGCUGACUCGGGCGAAGGCAGGGGACACCCUGGACAGGUCACCAGUCUGUCACAGGGCUACAUAUACAGACAAACAAUCACACUCACACCUACGGACAAUUUAGAGUUAUCAAUUAACCUCAGCAUGUUUUUGGACUGUGGGAGGAAGCCGGAGUACCUGGAGAAAACCCACGCAUGCACAGGGUGAACAUGCAAACUCCAUGCAGAAAGAUCCCAGGCCCAGGCUGGAGUUUAAACCGGAGAUCUUCUUGUUGCAAGGCGAAAGUGCCAACCACGAGCCCACUGUGCAGCCCUGAUUUCACUAUUUAUAUAAAAAAAUCCUCCAGCUAAAAGAAAAAUUUGACAUUUUGGGACAUAAAUUAUGUAUAACAGCAUGUAAAGCUCACUAAAAACACAUAUCUCGUAGUUUUAGUCCAUACAAGAGGAAAAUUGACAGGACUUACAUGAAGUUGAGUCUCCACUCAAAAGAAUUUCUCUAAAUGCAAUAUAAUGCUUAAAAAGAUUUAAACUUAAAUCUUUAAACUUAAAUGUGGGAUUUAAAAGAGAAAAUAUCCAUAAUGUGAUUUGUCUGUUUUUUCUAUCUUAUGUCAUAGCCUGGCUAACUUCUUUCCUGUUUCCAGUCAUUUAGCAGAGCUAAUUACAAAAACAGCACCUUCCAGAAUGUCAAAUUAUUCCUUUAAGGCCCAAAAAUGUGGCUAAAAAUGGGAGAUGAUCAACAUGAGAGACAACUUGCUGAAACCACAUGACCAGCGUGUGCUUUUCUUCUCAGCCCAACAGCAUUUUUUCCUCCCUCCAUGCCAGAUUUGAUGCAUUAGCAUAAGAAGGUAAAGAAAAAUGGUUAAAAUCCGUCUUGAUGUACAAACUCAGGCCAUGGAGGAGGAAAAACGUCCCCAAAGUGCUGUCCUACCUGCCUGCGUCUGCCGGCCAAUCACGGCCUGGCGCUGACAACUCGACGUCAAACUGCCGGCGGCGUCGGGGAUGUGAUCGGGAACACAAUAAGCUUUUUUUUUGUUUGUUUUUAAAAAUAAAGCAGGACGUCAGGAGGAUCCCAUUGGAAAAAUCAGGAGCCGAAAUCCUGGAGACAAACAUCCAUCUCUGAUUGUUUUGCCAAGGAAAUGUCACUUACUACAGUCGAAAUACAGAAUGCCUGAGGAUGUCCUUUUUCCUUUCCUGGUUGUAUCUGUUUCAUACAUCCUGUCCCGUGUACCAGCCUGUACGUCCUUGGUGUGUGUGUGUGUGUGUGUGCGUGUGUGUUCGUGCCACAUCCCUUCCCGUCCUCCUGCUCCUUGAUCCAAAGCUACUGGGAUCAGCUGAAUAUGCUAUCACACGCCGACACCUUUCGAGUUGAAUUGGAUCCUUUGAUGAUGCGAUGAAUCAGGGACAGGGCCAAUUAGAUUGGAAAGAGCGAGUGUGUGUGUGUGCGCGCGUGCACGUGGGCCAGCGUUUAAUCUUUUAUCUCCGUCUCGUCUGGUGGUCGAGUGUGUUCUCACAUGUCAGAGCCAUUUACAAGUGCCUGAACGCAUCCUCUUUAUCUCCUCAUGUAUUUAAAUCGAAAAAAAAAUUAAAGAAACGACUCCCUGUAUUGAAAUUAGACCCAUUUUUUACGCUUAGUAUUUUACCUCUGUAAAAAAAAGAGCAAAAAUUAUAUUAUAUAUAUCAAGUGUAUGUUGUACAUUUUUAUUUCUAUUUUGUUUUUUAAAAUAACUGUUUCUAACAUGUACGAUGGAUGUAGCUCUUGCUUUCGAGAAGGAACAGGAAGUACUUUGUAGAUACUGAAGGGUGGCCAGGUCUGUGAGAAAACUAAAGUGAAAUGUGUGUCUUACCUUCCGCCUCCAAUAAAACGAGAGAAAACAGUGAAACCA